GCGCCUGUAGCUCAGAGGACAGAGCAAGGGGUUCCUAACCCCUGCGCCGCAGGUUCGAGUCCUGCCAGGCGCA
This 73-nucleotide transfer RNA is filed under the name Acidobacteriota bacterium. RNAcentral's name for it is "Acidobacteria bacterium tRNA-Arg". It matches the Rfam family "tRNA". From Rfam's summary of the family: Transfer RNA (tRNA) molecules are approximately 80 nucleotides in length. Their secondary structure includes four short double-helical elements and three loops (D, anti-codon, and T loops). Lineage: Bacteria; Pseudomonadati; Acidobacteriota. The record is from RNAcentral. RNAcentral also lists the same sequence under 1 other name.